Long non-coding RNA from Sorghum bicolor (sorghum), 1853 nucleotides. RefSeq lists it as uncharacterized. The transcript has 2 exons. The record is from RefSeq and is a predicted model, not a curated record. NCBI's taxonomy places the organism in Eukaryota, Viridiplantae, Streptophyta, Magnoliopsida, Poales, Poaceae.
ACAAAUAUAUUCAUAUACAACUAUGUUAGCUUAAUUAAUAUGUGCAUGAAUUAUAAUUUAUUAGAAUGAAUUCAAUUCCAAGGAUCUAAAUGGGUUCCAAGAGUAAUUUCUAAACAAGAAUUACUCGAUCACAAGAAUGGAUACUCUCUCCCGAAAAAAGAUGGAAGACUAUUAACCAUGACUACAGCAUGCAAAAUGGCGCCUAUCAUUUCAGACAACUCAGGCUUCUUUGCACUCUGCUUGGCCUUUUGCAUGAUCAACUCAUGAACGUCUGAUUUCUCCAAGGAACUCUGUUUGCCCUUCUUACCUUUUGCAUGAUUAACUCACAAACGUCUGCAAGCACCUGGAUAUAUGCGCACUGGGAUUCAGGCUCUCAGGAUGGAGACACCGUGUUCUGAAUGCAAGGAGAAAGCACGACAGGUAACGAGGAAACAUCUGUCAUUACCAUCAGGAAGGAAGAACCAUACGCAAAAUCGCAGUAUGGAGCUGCUGUGCGCCAUUGCUAGGCCGCCUCAAGAGAUCUGGAGUAUCAGGGAACGUAUCAACUUCAGGAUUGCCCUGGCCAGGUAUAUAGUAUAUUGUUCUGCUGAGACGUGAGCCAAACAUAUUGCACUGCCGCAAUCCCAAUAGCUUGAGCUUCCUUAGCGAAAAUCAAAACCUGUACAACCGUCCAUUCAUACUAGAAGCAGAACAUUUCUAAAACAAGCUCCUUUCGUGUAAUUCUAGAUUUGGUCAGGAGUCAGGACUGGCCAAGAGUUGCACAAUUCAUCGCCACAAAGACAACUGAACAGCACUUCCACUACGCUCCGUGAAUGCAACAGUUUUCUGCUUUUCAGACCUGAGUCUAAGACCAUGAAUAUUUCCUGAAGCAACGCCUCACAACCAAACAGUAGAGAAAAAACCAUCUGAAAUCGUCCUGUCCAAGGCAUGAGCACCAGCAGCAAUGACCUCACAGCCUCAGCUCAAAAAACCACCUCAGUUGUCUAUGACAUGAGCAUGAGCAGGAUGGACAGAAAUUUAAUUGUAACAUGUCUGUAGCACUUCUGCAUAUACCAGGUCAUAUUGUUGCUAAUACACGAGCCUGAUUAGUGAUGAAUCCUCGCUGUUCUCCAAUAAAUUAGUGUUAUCAGCAAGAAUCAUAACAUAUAUGGCAGUCCUGGCAAUGACCAGCUAUUUGUUGACUGUGUUACACAACAAAAACCUGAAUCUGUACACAGUUACAAGAGCAAGCUGUGCACCAACAUUUCAACAGAUUAAAUAACAUUGUUGGGCCCCUUCCAUCCCCAUUUUCUGCCUAACCUACAGACUAACGACAUUUGCCAGAAAAGGCCAAUGCACAUUGGGUUACAGUAUAUACACACGUGCGCAUUAGUUGAAUACAUGCAACAAGGUGUUGAAGCAUUAUACAGAAAAGCUGGACUUAGCAAUGAGAAGGAUUUCCUCUCCUCCAAAUGAAUAAUCAAAUGAGAGAGCAUCAUAUGAAUACUGACCCUAAAUGCCAAGAUUAGACAAAAAAAGAUCUACUCUUUCACCUACACUGCCAUAAUUUUACAACAGCUGUGAAAAAAGAUGACCAAGCCACAUCUGAUCAAGAAAUGCUAGCCCCACGAUAGCCCAUACGCUCUCAAGCUUCCAUUGAGGCUGCUGCUUAUCAAGGAGCUUUCUUGCCUUUCCAUCAGAUCCACUGAGCUCACAACUCAGGUGGUCACAAAUAGGCUCUCCAAGGGCCGGUUUGGCACCUAUGGAAAAACAAUUGCUCAGGGGCUUCACAAAUUCCAUAGCUGUGCCAGUGGCAUUAAGCACUAUGUGCAUAUGAAAAACCGCUUCAACCUUCAGGUGAUGGGGGCCUGUGA